CCUACGGGAGGCAGCAGUGAGGAAUAUUGGUCAAUGGGCGGGAGCCUGAACCAGCCAAGUCGCGUGAGGGAAGACGGUCCUAUGGAUUGUAAACCUCUUUAGGCGGGGAGCAAUGCCGGGCACGCGUGCCCGGAGGGAGAGUACCCGCAGAAUACGCAUCGGCUAACUCCGUGCCAGCAGCCGCGGUAGUACGGAUGAUGCGAGCGUUAUCCGGAUUGAUUGGGUUUGAAGGGUGCGUAGGCGGAUUUUUAAGUCAGCGAGAACAUGGACGGGCUCAACCCGGGCCGGCCGUUGAAACUGGGGAUCUUGAGUGUGCGAGAAGUAUGCGGAAUGCGUGGUGUAGCGGUGAAAUGCAUAGAUAUCACGCAGAACUCCGAUUGCGAAGGCAGCAUACCGGCGCCCGACUGACGCUGAGGCACGAAAGCGUGGGGAUCGAACAGGAUUAGAUACCCCGGUAGUC
RNAcentral lists this ribosomal RNA (460 nucleotides) under uncultured bacterium. Its description in RNAcentral is "partial 16S ribosomal RNA". It matches the Rfam family "Bacterial small subunit ribosomal RNA", at positions 338 to 795 of the family's 1533-position model. The record is from RNAcentral.